RNAcentral lists this ribosomal RNA (465 nucleotides) under Vreelandella stevensii. RNAcentral describes it as "partial 16S ribosomal RNA". It matches the Rfam family "Bacterial small subunit ribosomal RNA", at positions 338 to 795 of the family's 1533-position model. Lineage: Bacteria; Pseudomonadati; Pseudomonadota; Gammaproteobacteria; Oceanospirillales; Halomonadaceae. The record is from RNAcentral.
CCUACGGGGGGCAGCAGUGGGGAAUAUUGGACAAUGGGGGGAACCCUGAUCCAGCCAUGCCGCGUGUGUGAAGAAGGCCCUCGGGUUGUAAAGCACUUUCAGUGAGGAAGAACGCCUGGUGGUUAAUACCCAUCAGGAAAGACAUCACUCACAGAAGAAGCACCGGCUAACUCCGUGCCAGCAGCCGCGGUAAUACGGAGGGUGCGAGCGUUAAUCGGAAUUACUGGGCGUAAAGCGCGCGUAGGUGGCUUGAUAAGCCGGUUGUGAAAGCCCCGGGCUCAACCUGGGAACGGCAUCCGGAACUGUCAAGCUAGAGUGCAGGAGAGGAAGGUAGAAUUCCCGGUGUAGCGGUGAAAUGCGUAGAGAUCGGGAGGAAUACCUGUGGCGAAGGCGGCCUUCUGGACUGACACUGACACUGAGGUGCGAAAGCGUGGGUAGCAAACAGGAUUAGAUACCCGAGUAGUC